This 361-nucleotide ribosomal RNA is filed under the name Escherichia coli. RNAcentral describes it as "partial 23S ribosomal RNA". It matches the Rfam family "Bacterial large subunit ribosomal RNA", at positions 1107 to 1471 of the family's 2925-position model. The record is from RNAcentral. Lineage: Bacteria; Pseudomonadati; Pseudomonadota; Gammaproteobacteria; Enterobacterales; Enterobacteriaceae.
UAGAAGCAGCCAUCAUUUAAAGAAAGCGUAAUAGCUCACUGGUCGAGUCGGCCUGCGCGGAAGAUGUAACGGGGCUAAACCAUGCACCGAAGCUGCGGCAGCGACGCUUAUGCGUUGUUGGGUAGGGGAGCGUUCUGUAAGCCUGUGAAGGUGUGCUGUGAGGUAUGCUGGAGGUAUCAGAAGUGCGAAUGCUGACAUAAGUAACGAUAAAGCGGGUGAAAAGCCCGCUCGCCGGAAGACCAAGGGUUCCUGUCCAACGUUAAUCGGGGCAGGGUGAGUCGACCCCUAAGGCGAGGCCGAAAGGCGUAGUCGAUGGGAAACAGGUUAAUAUUCCUGUACUUGGUGUUACUGCGAAGGGGGG